CAACUGACGCUGAGNCACGAAAGUGUGGGGAGCAAACAGGAUUAGAUACCCUGGUAGUCCACACCGUAAACGAUGGAUACUAGGAGUUGGCAAAAAUAUUGUCGGUUCCGCAGUUAACGCAUUAAGUAUCCCACCUGGGGAGUACGACCGCAAGGUUAAAACUCAAAGGAAUUGACGGGGGCCCGCACAAGCAGUGGAGUAUGUGGUUUAAUUCGAAGCAACGCGAAGAACCUUACCAGGGCUUGACAUAUACAGGAAUAUAUAAGAGAUUAUAUAGCUCUACGGAGUCUGUAUACAGGUGGUGCAUGGUUGUCGUCAGCUCGUGUCGUGAAAUGUUGGGUUAAGUCCCGUAACGAGCGCAACCCCUAUGGCUAGUUGCUAACAUUAAGUUGAGGACUCUAGCAAGACUGCCGUUGUUAAAACGGAGGAAGGUGGGGACGACGUCAAAUCAUCAUGCCCUUUAUGUCCUGGGCUACACACGUACUACAAUGGGUAAGACAGAGGGAAGCGAAAGUGCGAACUGGAGCAAAACCCUAAACUUAUUCUCAGUUCGGAUUGGAGUCUGAAAUUCGGCUCCAUGAAGCUGGAAUUGCUAGUAAUGGCAGGUCAGCAUACUGCCGUGAAUACGUUCCCGGGCCUUGUACACACCGCCCGUCACACCAUG
Molecule: ribosomal RNA, 664 nt
Filed under: uncultured bacterium
Lineage: Bacteria
Description: bacterial SSU rRNA
Rfam family: Bacterial small subunit ribosomal RNA
Source: RNAcentral